CAAUAUAAAUAUAAACAGACUAUGAAAGGGAAAUAUUAAAAUAAAUUAGUGAAACUCAUUGCGCUGCAUGGCUUGGCCCACUUGCCUACUUGGCAUAUAGCAUAUGGUGUUAAAUAUCCCCCAUACCAUAAACUUCCUUUCUCUGAGCUUUCUUUGUGCUUAGAUCAGCCAAAGAUGAAGAUGCAGCAGUAUAAACAACCCUAGAUUAGGAUUUGUCAGUCUCUGAUGGCCAGCCUUAAAAGAAAAGCUAGCUUAAAAUUAGCUGUGUAUUUAUUGUCCCAUAGUUGCAAUUGGCAAGGAAUAUGAUAGGAGACUAGCUGGAGGUGACAAAUCAGUCAUCAGUUAAGGAGGUCCAUUUAAAAGUACUUCCAGUGUAAUCUCCUAAUUUCUUCUUUGCCACAAUUAAUAUUCUGCAAAUGAGUCUGGUUGAAUGGCCUUAAGACAAAAAUAAAAAAUAAAAAUAUGAAUAACAAAGACUUAACUUUAGAGACUGGUAAACAAGGGCACAACAUCAUAUUUUAGAUAAUUGAUUCAGGGUGCUACAGAAUGGAUGUAUUUUUGCCCCAGUGGAGCCAAAGCCAGUUCCCAAGAAAGCUGUGUUUUCCAUCUGCCCUUAUUUGCCUCUGCCCUCUGGGAUGGAUCUAUAAAUGAAGUUUCCAAGCUCUCAGAAACUGAGAGCAUCUCCAGUCUAUCAAUUAAACCCAUUAUUCUUAGCUCUCCCACACACCAUAAACCUCCUUUUUCUGAACUGAAAGAGCUCUCUUUGUGCUUAGAUCAGCCAAAGAUCAAGAUGCAGCAGUAUAAACAAGAAACAUUUUCUUACAGCAUCAGUUAUAUGGCUUUUCCUAUCUUCAGGGUCAGUACUGAGUGCAAUUAUGCUGCGUGUGGAAGCUGAGCUUUGUUCAAAGCAACAGCCAUUCAUUCAGUAUACAUCUAUUGAACUCUUACUAAGCUUUGUGUUAAACCCUGGGAGGUUCGAGUUUGGGAGCUUUGUGGGUAAGGCACUGAUGAAGGCAUGAUCUUGCACUCAAGAAUAUCUCACAUUAUCAGUCACAGCAUGGAAGUCUCCCAGAGUGUGCUAGAGCAGAGGCAUGGAACAUACUAAAAGCAAUCUGACUGACCGACUGCAAUGGACACUUGAUUUCUGUAGGAGAGGUAGUGGAUAAGGGCUAGGACUUCCCGAGGCUAUGGUUUCUAGGGCCCCGAUAAAAACAAAACUUCAAUUUAGAGUCUUGGAAACUUGUGACUUGCUCUCCCUAUGGCAUCCUCCUCUUGCCUUACAUGUGACAGCAUUUAUGCACAGACUGGCACAAUGCCUGUGCUUGCUUCCACCCACUCAGUCAUUUGAGGAAUCAGAGGGCACAUGGAUUAGGAUUUAAAUAAACACAAGCUAUUCAGGCUGCCUUUUCUCUUUCUAUCAAGGUUAAAUCUGAGAAGUAAAGGAAGGGCAAUAUAAGACACAAGGUCUUUUUCUCUUUGAAUUUCCUUACUGUGAAUACAGUUACUGUCUGUGCAUUUUGAGGUUGACAACUUGAUAUAUAUGAAGUAAUAAUCACUCAUAUCUAAAAAUCAAUACUUGACCUUUUUUUACUUUCAUUAAGCAGGUAAGGAAUUUAAACUAAUAUUUAUAAAUUGGGAAAAAUUUUUCUCGUUUACUCAUUCACUUGCUUUAAAACAAGCAGCUGUAUUCUUAUUCUUGUCUCAAAAACGUUAAUGUUUAUGUGCUCCUUCUGGCACUUCUGGAUUGUUCCACUUUAUUCCAAAGAAAAAUAGGAUAAAAUAUUAAAUAAUUUGUGUACUGUGAAACAAAGGAAAUCCAACCUUAACAUGUAAAAAAACUUUUAACAAACACGAAUUUAACAGGUUUUCUGUGCCAAAAUUUGCUAGAUUUUUCUAAAAUAGAAGUUAGUUAAACAGAUGCAGCUCAACUAAACGUAGAAAGGGUUAGAAGGGAGAUAGGAAGCAUGGGGAAAUGUGAGACUAACUUUUGAAAGAAAAGAAUCAGAAAGAAAUUUAUAUAGUUCCAAAAGAAACAAAAGAUCACAUAAAAGAAGAUUUAGACACACAAAUGUGCAUCUAGAGAAAGAGGCCUGUCAUUCUACGGUAUUCAGAGUUGAAAAUGUUUAAUAGCCUUGGACACUUUUGCUUACCAACUGGGAAAAUCUACCUCUGAGUUUCAAAGGAUCUGGCUACAUCCAUACUGUUUAUUGUGUUAAACUUUCAAAGAUCUUUCAAAGAUCAAAAGGCAAACACACAAAGCAGAUUCUGACAGUUGCAAUAUUGAACAACCAAACAAAACAACAGAGUUUGAAGUUUAUAGAUACUUUUAAUUCUAAUAGCUGAUGAAUUGAAAUGCAGAACAGAGCAAAUAUUAUAAAGGAAGGAAAAUGUAUCCUGUUCACAUUAGCAAAAAUGUGAAUAUAAAAUGAGAAUUUUCCUAUAUGCUGGUGACAUUACAACCUAGAAAUAAUCUUACUAAACAAAUAGUCUAGCUGAUUAUGGCUAGAGAGAAUGCUUACAUAUCAAUAUUUUUAAAAACAAAUUUUUCAUUUUUGGUUAAUGUUUCCAAUUUAUUCACAAAUAAUGUAAAAAUUACAUAGACCAAGGACUUCAGGAUAUAAUUGAAAACUAAUUUAUAUAGAAGGACACAAGUAAAUUACAUUUCUCAAAGUUAAGUGGUCUAUGAAGUUUACUGAAGUUGUGUGCAUGUUGCUGUUUGUUGGGAGCCGCGGCCGAGCCCGGUCGCCUUACUUGGUGGACAUGAGGCCUGUAAGAAAGAGCAAAGCCUGAGCUAGAUUACCCCUCCCAUCGAGUGAGCCAAGUUGGCGCCUGCUUCCUGCCCCCUGAUUGCCCUGGCGACUUAAACAACCCGCUCUGUAAGAUAGUCUGCCCAGCAACAACUGACGUUAGCCAAUCAGCCCGCAUCGCGCGCUUUGAACUGAUUGGCCACUGUUACCCUAUAAAAGUGAGUGCCUCUCCCGCCACGAGAGAGAAGCACAGAGAGAGAUAGAGAAAGUCCACCGGUGAGAAAGGACUGGUGGCAGAGCAGAGGCCUCGCGGGGCCCACGUGGAGACAAAUAAAGACAAGGUUGCACACCGUCAGAAUCUGUCGUGUGUUUUUCCUGCCGGCCGGGAGCGACACCAACAUCUGGUGGCCCGUACGGGGGUCUGAUCACUCCCCUUGGUGGUGUGCAACGCUCCAGCGUGGUGCUGCCGGACAGGGACCGGGACGAGAACCACUGUGGGUCCCAGAGAGGUUGACGCGACAAGUCCCUCGACUGAAGAUCAGGCCUGUUCCACCAGAGGCCAACCGCAGACCCAACAACAAGAUGAGCCCUAAAAGAACUGCAGGACAAUCCCUUUUUGGGGGCCUGGAACGGCUUGCUCCCCUAUGUGUUACCCUUGUUAGGCCCUCUAUGCUCCUUGUUCUUGCUCCUGCUUAUAGGACCAUUCUUGCUCCGAUGGGUUACAUCAUUUAUUAAUGGGCGCCUUGCGGCGGCCCGGCGUCAAGUACGCCUGGUUGCCCAUGCGGCCCUGGCAGCAGCCCGUGAUGGGCACAAUGACCUCCAGGCUUACGCAUGGCUCGCUCGACUGGCCUACGACCGGGUCUAGAUGUGGCGGGUCUUCCGCAUUCCUUCCCUAUUGACACCACACAGCAGGGUAGGUGAGUCAAUGACGGGUAAGAGCGUGCCUCCCCAGCACGACUCGACCUAAGCCAGGCCCUACCCCAUACUGCACGAAAGCCGCUGGAUUACUAGAAUCUGCCCAGAUCUAGAUGUCUCUCCGAGGGGAUCGCACGGAGGGGCAUGAGUGCAUGCCUAUGUGCAUCCAGGUUCCGUCCAGUUCACUCCUGGCCCUGGAAAAAGGACGAGGGUCUCAAGGCCUUGGCGAACCCAGGGACGGCUGACCAGGGUCCAAGCCAAGGGCCUACGGUGGGCCUCAACACAGGGCAUAAGCCUCUGCACUCAAUCCAGGGCGGGCUGCGAUGCGUACAUUCAUUCAAAAUAAAUAAAAUAGGGGGAAAUGUUGGGAGCCGCGGCCGAGCCCGGUCGCCUUACUUGGCGGACGUGAGGCCUGUAAGAAAGAGCAAAGCCUGAGCUAGAUUACCCCUCCCAUCGAGUGAGCCAAGUUGGCGCCUGCUUCCUGCCCCCUGAUUGCCCUGGCGACUUAAACAACCCGCUCUGUAAGAUAGUCUGCCCAGCAACAACUGACGUUAGCCAAUCAGCCCGCAUCGCGCGCUUUGAACUGAUUGGCCACUGUUACCCUAUAAAAGUGAGUGCCUCUCCCACCACGAGAGAGAAGCACAGAGAGAGAUAGAGAAAGUCCACCGGUGAGAAAGGACUGGUGGCAGAGCAGAGGCCUCGCGGGGCCCACGCGGAGACAAAUAAAGACAAGGUUGCACACCG
Cavia porcellus (domestic guinea pig) is the source of this 4406-nucleotide long non-coding RNA. RefSeq lists it as uncharacterized. The record is from RefSeq and is a predicted model, not a curated record. NCBI's taxonomy places the organism in Eukaryota, Metazoa, Chordata, Mammalia, Rodentia, Caviidae. The transcript has 2 exons.